GAUGAACGCUGACAGAAUGCUUAACACAUGCAAGUCUUUGGCGAAGCUGAGCUCGCACAGCCUAGCCAAGGCGGACGGGUGAGUAACGCGUAAGGAACUUGCCCUGCAGUCAGGGAUAACAGACGGAAACGACUGAUAAGACCUGGUAAAGUCAGGCGGACUCAUGUCCAGCCUGAUGAAAAGAGAUGCUGCAGGAGAGCCUUGCGUCCUAUUAGCUUGUUGGUGGGGUAACGGCCCACCAAGGCGAUGAUAGGUAGCCGGCCUGAGAGGGUGGACGGCCACAAGGGGACUGAGAUACGGCCCUUACUCCUACGGGAGGCAGCAGUGGGGAAUAUUGGACAAUGGGGGCAACCCUGAUCCAGCAAUUCUGUGUGCACGAUGAAGGUUUUCGGAUUGUAAAGUGCUUUCAGCAGGGAAGAAAAAAAUGACGGUACCUGCAGAAGAAGCGACGGCUAAAUACGUG
This 463-nucleotide ribosomal RNA is filed under the name uncultured bacterium. RNAcentral's name for it is "partial 16S ribosomal RNA". It matches the Rfam family "Bacterial small subunit ribosomal RNA", at positions 28 to 507 of the family's 1533-position model. The record is from RNAcentral.